This is a long non-coding RNA of Scylla paramamosain (green mud crab), 899 nucleotides long. RefSeq lists it as uncharacterized. The record is from RefSeq and is a predicted model, not a curated record. Lineage: Eukaryota; Metazoa; Arthropoda; Malacostraca; Decapoda; Portunidae. The transcript is spliced from 4 exons.
GAGGCCAAGAGUCUGAAGCCGGCAGGGGUGGUGGUGGUGGUGGUGGUGAUUGCCUUAUGGCAGUAGACGGCGGAUCUGAGAGCGAGGUGUCCAUUGUGUUGCCCAGUGAUGGUGUUUGUUCUUUUUGUUAGUUAUUGAUCGUGACUGCAUCAUCGUCAAGGGUGCGUAAGGUGGAAGGAGCCUCGGAAGUGACCGUGGCCAGGAGGAAACAACAAAAGCCACCAAGAGGCAGCCGUGCGUGGCGCUCCUGUUGCUGCUGCUGGCGAUGUUGUGGCCGCGUCAGUGGAAAAAAGGCUCUGCUCCUGCCUGCAUUGUCGCUCCCUCCUGCUCCUGCUCUUCUGCCUGUCCCUGUGUGACGGCCGCCCCUCAGGGAGUCUUGCCGGGGAACACUAAGUGGGUUAACACCGCCGAGUGAGAGGCGCUCCUUGUCGCCACCACCGUCAAAUGGGAGUGACAUGUGUUCCCCUGAGGUGCGCGGGUCCAAGGCGGAGGAGGAGGAGGCAAGCUUACAAGGAGGAAUUGCUGGGAAGGGGUUAAGGAAAAGGAGGAGGAACGGUGCAGGAUGGAAUUUGGCGCCGUCGGGUUGGCUUCGGAUCAGGAAAAAUCGUGGCAAGGCAAGAAAAGGAAGCCGCAGCAGUGUCGCCUGUGUCGCGGCGCCACGGAGGACUUGUAGAGAUUCUUGCUGCCGUGGUUGCUGGGCUGUUUUAGGUUCUUUUUAUGUAUAAGGAAGAUCUAGAAGAGCAGAGCAGUGAAUAAUAAAAAAAAAAAAAAAACGCUUAAAUGCCUUUCUCAAAAACGAAAGUAGGAGUAGAACCGAGAGAGAGAAGCUGAUUUAUUUUCCGAGGCGUCCUGAUGUUGAUGAUCUACCCGUGUAAGAUGAAAACAGGAAUAAGCUUAAG